Molecule: microRNA precursor, 85 nt
Filed under: Malus domestica (apple)
Lineage: Eukaryota; Viridiplantae; Streptophyta; Magnoliopsida; Rosales; Rosaceae
Description: miR3627a stem-loop (mdm-MIR3627a)
Rfam family: MIR3627 microRNA precursor family
Source: miRBase by way of RNAcentral
GGAUUUAUGUUCGCAGGAGAGAUGGCACUAAUUGUGCCACAAUUGUCAAUAAUUGUUGCCAUCUCUUCUGUGACCAAAAAGAUCU